This 73-nucleotide transfer RNA is filed under the name Ligilactobacillus murinus. RNAcentral describes it as "tRNA-Val". It matches the Rfam family "tRNA". Rfam says of the family: Transfer RNA (tRNA) molecules are approximately 80 nucleotides in length. Lineage: Bacteria; Bacillati; Bacillota; Bacilli; Lactobacillales; Lactobacillaceae. RNAcentral also lists the same sequence under 1 other name. The record is from RNAcentral.
GGAGGAUUAGCUCAGUUGGGAGAGCGUCUGCCUUACAAGCAGAGGGUCACAGGUUCGAGUCCUGUAUCCUCCA